AUUCGUCAACUCGCAUCAGCCAUAUCGGCGUCGAGCAGGAGAUGUAGACUGGAUGGAGUAUAUUGCAGCUGCAGGUACGUAUCAGGCAGUUUGCUGGCUAGUUGCUCAAGCGGCAGAGUAACGAUGUAGUCAGGUGUACCUUCUUUACAUUUUCGUUGUUAGAAGACGAUGUAAGGAGCUAAGGUAUCCUAAUUGCAACAGCAUAUGAGAAAUGAAAGGACCAGGACUACCACUGAAUCUGGGGUGUGACAUCUAAUGUCGCAGAGUGGGACUGUCACAGAGCUUUGUCUACGAUAUUUUAGUCUCUCGAACUUGUUGAGGCAAUGGCAAUUGUUGAUCUGUAGACUUGGCUUGACGUAGUCUGCAAUAUGAACAUCUUUAGUUGUAAUUAGAUGUGAACGUUUUAGUUCGUGUCUUGUCUGACUUGUUUGUGGGCGGUC
Molecule: long non-coding RNA, 440 nt
Organism: Corticium candelabrum
Lineage: Eukaryota; Metazoa; Porifera; Homoscleromorpha; Homosclerophorida; Plakinidae
Exons: 3
Source: RefSeq, a predicted model, not a curated record